UACGUAGGGGGCAAGCGUUGUUCGGAAUUACUGGGCGUAAAGGGCGCGUAGGCGGCCAGCACAAGUCAGUUGUGAAAUCUCCGAGCUUAACUCGGAAAGGUCAACUGAUACUGUGCGGCUAGAGUGCGGAAGGGGCAACUGGAAUUCUUGGUGUAGCGGUGAAAUGCGUAGAUAUCAAGAGGAACACCUGCGGCGAAGGCGGGUUGCUGGGCCGACACUGACGCUGAGGCGCGAAAGCCAGGGGAGCGAACGGG
RNAcentral lists this ribosomal RNA (254 nucleotides) under uncultured bacterium. RNAcentral's name for it is "partial 16S ribosomal RNA". It matches the Rfam family "Bacterial small subunit ribosomal RNA", at positions 524 to 776 of the family's 1533-position model. The record is from RNAcentral.